RNAcentral lists this transfer RNA (83 nucleotides) under Canis lupus dingo (dingo). It matches the Rfam family "tRNA". From Rfam's summary of the family: Transfer RNA (tRNA) molecules are approximately 80 nucleotides in length. Their secondary structure includes four short double-helical elements and three loops (D, anti-codon, and T loops). Further hydrogen bonds mediate the characteristic L-shaped molecular structure. tRNAs have two regions of fundamental functional importance: the anti-codon, which is responsible for specific mRNA codon recognition, and the 3' end, to which the tRNAs corresponding amino acid is attached (by aminoacyl-tRNA synthetases). tRNAs cope with the degeneracy of the genetic code in two manners: having more than one tRNA (with a specific anti-codon) for a particular amino acid; and 'wobble' base-pairing, i.e. permitting non-standard base-pairing at the 3rd anti-codon position. Lineage: Eukaryota; Metazoa; Chordata; Mammalia; Carnivora; Canidae. The record is from Rfam by way of RNAcentral.
GCCUGGGUGGCUCAGCGGUUGAGCAUCUGCCUUUGGUUCAGGACGUGAUCCUGGAGUCCCGGGAUCGAGUCCCACCUCAGGCU